UAGGGAAUAUUGGGCAAUGGAAGCAAUUCUGACCCAGCCAUGCCGCGUGCAGGAAGACAGUCCUAUGGAUUGUAAACUGCUUUUAUUAUAGAGUAACCGGGGGUACGUGUACCCUCCUGCAAGUAUAUAAUGAAUAAGCAUCGGCUAACUCCGUGCCAGCAGCCGCGGUAAUACGGAGGAUGCAAGCGUUAUCCGGAUUUAUUGGGUUUAAAGGGUGCGCAGGCGGAUCGGUAAGUCAAGGGUGAAAAUCUACUGCUUAACAGUAGUCGUGCCAAUGAUACUGCCGGACUAGAGUGUAAGAGGUGUAACUGGAAUGUGAUGUGUAGCGGUGAAAUGCUUAGAUAUGUCACAGAACGCCGAUCGUGAAGACAGGUUACAAACUUACAACUGACGCUCAUGC
RNAcentral lists this ribosomal RNA (400 nucleotides) under uncultured bacterium. RNAcentral's name for it is "bacterial SSU rRNA". It matches the Rfam family "Bacterial small subunit ribosomal RNA", at positions 355 to 752 of the family's 1533-position model. The record is from RNAcentral.